GCAUCAAUCUUGCACUUACAAAGCCAAGAACUGAUCUUAAAAUUUGUUCAACAUCAGAACAUGGUAUAGUCACAAGUGGUUGACCCAAUACCAAACUAAAUUUGGGUGUCGACUCACUAGACUCGUUACCAAAAAACAAAUCCACCGCAAACGCUAUAACUUGGAUCUAGACAUUUAGAUAAACAUCAAAAUUCUAGUCCAUAUAAGCAACAUAAUCAUAUGUGGUUGACCACUCCCAACAUGGGGUAUCGACUCACAAGACUCAUCAUCACAAAUGUUACCUACACAGUUUCAUCAACGAGCGUAGUACCAUCGUUCUGACCAUCAAUCAAAUCUUAUUUUUUUCCCUUUAAUCAUACUCAAAAUCGAAUCUGUUCACGAAUAAACAAAAACAAAUUAGUAUACUAAAUAAAAACCAGAAAUUAAAGAUCAAGCAAUUCAAACAAAUA
RNAcentral lists this long non-coding RNA (449 nucleotides) under Arabidopsis lyrata. Its description in RNAcentral is "long non-coding RNA (ALYR_LNC002267)". Lineage: Eukaryota; Viridiplantae; Streptophyta; Magnoliopsida; Brassicales; Brassicaceae. The record is from RNAcentral.